This 448-nucleotide ribosomal RNA is filed under the name uncultured bacterium. Its description in RNAcentral is "bacterial SSU rRNA". The stretch from base 99 to 448 matches the Rfam family "Bacterial small subunit ribosomal RNA", at positions 1 to 352 of the family's 1533-position model. The record is from RNAcentral.
UGAAUCCGGUAUAUCAAUGGUCAUACUCUGUUGUACAUGGAAACACGACGGACAGAGGAAUCGGGAGUCCGGGUCAUAGAUGUAUCCUGGAAAAAGACGGCCAUUAGAAUUUGAAAUCGUGUCAAUAGGAGUUUCAUGGGAAAGGACAACAAGUGAAAGUGGAGGGGUAGAAGGAGCUGGUUCCUGUGAGACCGGGGCACGGGUGCGUAACGCGUAUGCAAUCUACCUUGUACAGGGGAAUAGCCCAGAGAAAUUUGGAUUAAUGCCCCAUAGUAUAUAACCUUCGCAUGUUGGUUAUAUUAAAGUUCCAACGGUACAAGAUGAGCAUGCGUCCCAUUAGUUAGUUGGUAAGGUAACGGCUUACCAAGACGAUGAUGGGUAGGGGUCCUGAGAGGGAGAUCCCCCACACUGGUACUGAGACACGGACCAGACUCCUACGGGAGGCAGC